Molecule: small RNA, 302 nt
Filed under: Corynebacterium glyciniphilum AJ 3170
Lineage: Bacteria; Bacillati; Actinomycetota; Actinomycetes; Mycobacteriales; Corynebacteriaceae
Description: 5' ureB small RNA
Rfam family: 5' ureB small RNA
Source: Rfam by way of RNAcentral
CAUGCUCGGCCUGCUGCGGAGUGAUGUAGUGGAUGUGGGUGUCCACUCCCCCGGCGGUGAGGAUGCGGUGCUCCCCGGCAAUGACCUCGGUGCCAGGGCCGAUGACCAGCUCGGGAUCCACCCCGUCCUGCGUGUUCGGGUUACCGGCCUUGCCGAUCUUCACGAUACGGCCGUCCCGGAUGCCGACGUCGCCUUUGACCACGCCGGAAACCGCGUCGAGGACGAUGACACCGGUGAUGACGGUAUCCAGUGCCCCGGAGGCGGCGGUGGCGGUGGGGUCCUGCGCCAUGCCGUCGCGCACG